AUGUCCAUUUAUAGCCUUUACACAUCAGCUUGUAUACUUGUAUGGUUAAAAAGCUGCAAAUUUCAAGACGCUGACGUCACGUCAGGUCGCCACGUGGGUCAGCCGUUUGAAAGUUCAAGACGUUCGGAUAGACGUUCGAUCGGUCGGUCGGUCGUUCGGAUGUUUGAUUUUGGCACGGAGUACCCGCCAUACUUGUCAGUCAAUACCCAACCGCGUCAUAGAUCAUUACCAUAAAGUUGCCCUGAUUUCAACUCUCCUCGACGCUCUCAACGGCCGAGUCGCGCCGCGCCGCUCCUCGCCGCUGCUCGACGCCGGCUCACAUUGAAAAUGAAUGACUUCCGGCCACUUUGACGCUCUCGACGCUGGCGGUGUGAACGUACAGUGAGAGGAAUUUCAAAUACAAAGAUUGUAACGGCUGCUUUUCUCAAAGAAACAACCGCUGCGCAAGAAGAGUUAAUGCUCCAAAAUAAAUACACAGAUUUAUUAUUUGUACACUAAUUCAUAGACUGACACGCUUAACUGUAUGUUUUUAUUUUAAAAUGUUUGUUUUAACCAUUAAAGGGUUAGCCCUUAUGUGUUGUUGGGGACGUUUUCGUCCACUAGGGGGUAAAGUUGAGUCUUAUUUUGGCCACAACUUUCUCUGUGUUUCAGCUAAUGGAAUGAUUUUUGGUGACAAAUCUUAUUUUGACACAUAUUUUGGGAAAAUGCUUUGAAAAUUUUAAAAAACUUAACUAUACACUGUGGACAAAUUCACUACCCUUUCGUUAUGUUCGUGGAUGAAACCAUCCACUAAAUUAAACUGCUGUAAAAAUGUAUCAGAUAAAUUUUUUUUUGCAUAAAUCUAUUAAUCAACCUCAGUCCUGAUCAAAAGUACCAAAUGUAAAAAAAAAAAAAAAUAUCCAAGAUUUUAACUCUUUAAUUACCAAGUUCAUAAAUGAUGUCACUGAUUUGGGAAAAAAAAACACAAAAAAUGACAUAUUUUCAAUAUAAAAAGUGAUUGUGGACUGGAUAUUUUUUUUACCUUUUAUCACAGUCUUGGGCAUGUCAAAGAUUAGUAACAAUAUUGGCUUUGAUGCUUUGUUAGUUUUUGUGCAGCAUUAGAUUUUAAUUUUUUCUCCCUCAUUUGUUGUUGGUGGCUGUUUUUGCCCCAUUGACUUCCAUUAUAACGACAUUUUUUGAUCGCAAAGCCAUGACACCAUAUAAUCAUGCAUUCUUGAUUGUUUGUGGUUUUCCCUUUUGGUAAGAGGUAAAAUUUGUUAUUUUUACAGUUGAUCACUAGGUGGGACCAUUAACCCUUUAGAUAGGCCUGUGCAAAAAAAGGCUUAGUUUCUGGCUUGUAUAUGGAGUUAUAUGGAGUAUAACAGCAAAUUAUAGUGUUUGUGUGUGUGUGAGAUUCUUGAUUGUUGGUGGUUUUCCCUGUUGGGAAGAGGUAACAUUUGUUAUUUUUUACAGUUGAUCACUAGGUGGGACCAUUAACCCUUUAGAUAGGCCUGUGCAAAAAAAAAAGGCUUAGUUUCUGGCUUGUAUAUGGAGUUAUAUGGAGUAUAACAACAAAUUAUAGUGUGUGUGUGUGUGUGUGUGUGUGAGAGAGAGAGAGAGAGAAAGAGAGAGUGUGAGAGAGACCUUUGUGCACUUACCUUGAUAUAUCUGAAAAAAUCCAAAUAUGCACCUCAGCUCUCAGAACUACAUGGAGUAAACAAUAAAAAAAAUAAGUGUGUUUAUGCACCUGCUGCCUUUUGAUGGUGAAAAGUACGGAUGGCCUAUGUGUGAAAUGCUUGUCUUUUCUUAAUGGUAAAGCCAGUUUAAAACCUUAAAAUCCUGUAAAAAAAAUCUACUUUGCAUCAGAUUUAUGAACAUAAUGUAUUAUGAACCAAAAUGCAAUACCAACUUCAAAUAAGCUGCAGCUCGCUGGAGGGGUCAAGCUGCAUAAUCAUUUCUAAAACUUUGGUACAAGUCAAGCCCUUUCUCGUGUUGCUUGCUGCUCUUCUCACCAUCAAAUUGUCACGGCGUGAUAAAGGACAGGAGGCAACUGCGAGUAAUAAUGAUGUUUAUUGAAACUAUGAGAUGAUGACAGGCUCCUGGAGAAUGACGCAGGGACUUUGAUGGCAGCACAGACAGGUGAGUAGAUUCCCUUGAGUGCGCUGAUAGAAAUGGUGAAGACCUGACGAUUCCCUUGAGUGCGUUGGUGGAGAUGGUGAGGAACAAACACUCCCCUUGAGUGCGUUGGUGGAGUGGGUGAAGGCGAGGUAUCCGUAAUCAAGGUUGUGAUCCAGUGACGACCAAACAGGAAACAGAGCAAGAGGCAGGAACGCUGAACAACGAGUAGACAAACACCACGCGGACCUCACACAACGAUCUGACAAACAAGAGACGAAAGACCAGGCAUUAUAUAGGCUGAUGUAACGAGCAGCACCUGCCGCUGAUCAGCCGAUCAGCGGUAACACCCACAUGAAAACAAUUAACAUGACGUCACAACAAACCAGCAGGAGACGGUGCAUUCAUGAA
This is a long non-coding RNA of Cyprinus carpio carpio, 2505 nucleotides long. The record is from Ensembl. NCBI's taxonomy places the organism in Eukaryota, Metazoa, Chordata, Actinopteri, Cypriniformes, Cyprinidae.